UGAAGAUGGCGGCGCCCAGUCUGCCCCAGGGAGCUGAGAGGUUGGGGCCCCACUCCUCAGUGCGCCCUUGGAGAAAAGCCGUCAGCGCCUCCCGUCUCUCUAGUCUCUGGCCAAGCUCCGAGCUCACCGGCCUGUGAGCGAGCGUCUCUGUCUCUGGCGCUCGGCCCUGUUUGAAGUCUCCAAACCCAGCGGAUUCCUGCUGCGCUGCUUCUCCCAGAGGAGGAAGAUGGCACCUUCUAAUGGGAAAGAAGUCCUGCUGGCCAUCCACCUCUUUGCUCUCCACUGUGUUCCAUGCGCUUUCCUCUGGACCACUGGAUGGAACCCUACACUGACAUUCCCAGAACACCUCGGCCAACCUGCUUCGAGACAAAGGUCUAUAGUGCAAGUGCUUGACAUUAAGCUUUUGAUCACUCCGCCAUCCAUCUCAAGGACAUCCAUCUCCAGUAAACACAUGACCAGCUAGACAACUAGAUAAGAGCCAGGGAGCCCACCCGUGAAGUUCCCCCUUUUGGAAAGUCCUACAUAAAUCUGGGUCCUGCCAACCCUGGAUUUUUCUUUUUUUUUUAAGGUCCUCAUAUAGAGCUCCUUCUUGCAUUCCCUCUUGCCAAAGAAGAGAGGAGACUGAUGACCCAUUUAAAAAGGCCCAACAGCAAUAAACCCAGAGCCAGUCUUUUGUCCAGCUUGGCAAGCAGGUGGGGCAAAUCCCUGUUAUUUGCUCCUGAUGUUUCACCCCUCAAAAGACCAACAAAAAGUGGUUUUUUUUUUUUUUCUUUAGCUGUGGAAAAUAAAAUACAAGUUAGAGCCUCAAGGCACGCCAUAAGACAAGCCUUUGGCAGCAUGCCCUGCUUCAUUUAUAUUUCAAUAGAGCCUUUUUUCCAUAUUAAAAUGAACACAGGGAAAUCAGAAGAAGGAAAUGGAGAGGAAAAGAUGGAUGAGGUGGUGAAAAGAAUCCAAAAGGAAAAUUUUAGAUCUCAGAUUAGCAAUAUAUCUCUGAAAUUUCGUUCUGUCAGUGCCUCAUUUAUCUGUGUUCUAAUCAAGGAAAACACUUGCCACUCUAACCUUGACAUCUCAUGGACUCAUCCGAGUGAAAGCAAAUCUUCCCACACAUCACAGUCCAGUACUCCUCAGCCUUCGGGAAACCGGAGGUACUCUGCUCCACACAGUCACCCAGGGACUCAGCUCAGAUCCCUCCGUUAUAUUAUUUGCCCUUGAGCAAAUGAAAGAAAGUCCAGUUCAAGUGGGGAACCUAUCAGGAACUUUCUAAGAGUCAGGACUGAAAGAGGCAUACACGACUUCCUUCCACAUUCUGUUGGCCAGAACUCAGACACACGACCUCAUCCAUGUGCAGUAGAAGCUAAAAAUAUACUUUAGUUAUGCAGAUAGGAAUAAAAGGAAAUGGUUUAUAGAAAAACAGCUCUGUCUAUGUAACAG
Long non-coding RNA from Mustela lutreola (European mink), 1431 nucleotides. RefSeq lists it as uncharacterized. The transcript is spliced from 4 exons. The record is from RefSeq and is a predicted model, not a curated record. NCBI's taxonomy places the organism in Eukaryota, Metazoa, Chordata, Mammalia, Carnivora, Mustelidae.